GGGGGGGCAAGCGUUUGUUCGGAAUUACUGGGCGUAAAGAGCUCGUAGGCGGCCAACUAAGUCGGACGUGAAAUCCCUCGGCUCAACCGAGGAACUGCGUCCGAUACUGGAUGGCUUGAGUCCGGGAGAGGGAUGUGGAAUUCCAGGUGUAGCGGUGAAAUGCGUAGAUAUCUGGAGGAACACCGGUGGCGAAGGCGGCAUCCUGGACCGGCACUGACGCUGAGGAGCGAAAGCCAGGGGAGCAAACGGGAUUAGAUACCCCGGUAGUCCUGGCCCUAAACGAUGAAUGCUUGGUGUGGCGGGUAUCGAUCCCUGCCGUGCCCGAAGCUAACGCGAUAAGCAUUCCGCCUGGGGAGUACGGUCGCAAGGCUG
RNAcentral lists this ribosomal RNA (372 nucleotides) under uncultured organism. RNAcentral's name for it is "partial 16S ribosomal RNA". It matches the Rfam family "Bacterial small subunit ribosomal RNA", at positions 528 to 896 of the family's 1533-position model. The record is from RNAcentral.